Molecule: ribosomal RNA, 482 nt
Filed under: uncultured bacterium
Lineage: Bacteria
Description: partial 16S ribosomal RNA
Rfam family: Bacterial small subunit ribosomal RNA
Source: RNAcentral
AUUGAACGCUGGCGGCAUGCUUUACGCAUGCCAGUCGAACGGUAACAGGCCGCAAGGUGCUGACGAGUGGCGGACGGGUGAGUAAUGCAUCGGAACGUGCCCAGUCGUUGGGGAUAACUACUCGAAAGAGUAGCUAAUACCGCAUACGAUCUAUGGAUGAAAGCGGGGGACCGUAAGGCCUCGCGCGAUUGGACCGGCCGAUGUCAGAUUAGGUAGUUGGUGGGGUAAAGGCUCACCAAGCCAACGAUCUGUAGCUGGUCUGAGAGGACGACCAGCCACACUGGGACUGAGACACGGCCCAGACUCCUACGGGAGGCAGCAGUGGGGAAUUUUGGACAAUGGGCGCAAGCCUGAUCCAGCAAUGCCGCGUGCAGGAAGAAGGCCUUCGGGUUGUAAACUGCUUUUGUACGGAACGAAACGGCUCUGGUUAAUACCCGGGGCUAAUGACGGUACCGUAAGAAUAAGCACCGGCUAACUACGUG